UGGAUGCAUUUGGUGAUCUUUGGAAUAGCUACAGUCCAUCUUACUCAGAGGAUCGUCCAAAGGGUGAAACUGGAAACUGGAAUGGGAAGAUCAGUUAUGUGAAUUCUUUCAGGAAGAUGAAUAUUUGGAGAAAAAAGUCUGAAUCCUGAUAUUUUUGUAACCUGGAAAGCUUGGAAGAUGCCAGGAAAAAUUACAGGGGCAGAAGAAGAUCCUGGAUGUUGUGAUCAUUUGACUCCUGUGGUGAUAACUGAAAUUGCUCUUGGAAGCUCUGAUGCAAAGAAUGCAAGAAAUGCUGGUAAAAACAAAGCUCUUGUACCUAAGUGCAUUUCAGAGAAAAAAUUCAUUAUAGGAGCUAUUAUUCUGGUCGUUGUUUUGAUUAUCGUUAUAAUUUCACUGGC
Protobothrops mucrosquamatus (brown spotted pit viper) is the source of this 398-nucleotide long non-coding RNA. RefSeq lists it as uncharacterized. NCBI's taxonomy places the organism in Eukaryota, Metazoa, Chordata, Lepidosauria, Squamata, Viperidae. The transcript has 4 exons. The record is from RefSeq and is a predicted model, not a curated record.